UUAUUAGCAAAAGGAAUUUAUUAGUAUUCUAGUAAAUGGUAGUAUAUCAUGUCGAUAGUUUAGCAACAGAGAAGUAGAGUUCCGUAGCUUGAUAACGCCACGCUCAUUGGUGUUUCUAGUCCAGCAAUGAAUAUUGCUGGAAAAGAUCAGUUACGUAAACCGGAAUUGAAGUGAUGUGUUAGAGAAUAGAAUUGCUGGUAUACCACAGAACGGGCUGUGUAUAGCACAGUACGUUACACACCAUUAUACACCUUAAAACCUUAUCCCUCCAAUUCACUAUGUUGUUCGCUGAGCUAGCCAGGAUGGUUGCGAUUGUUUUGUCAUAAUUUAAUUUCGUGAUUUUUGCAAACAAAUGACCAAUUUCUUCUUGCUUUCUCUAAUUUUAAAAUUGAAUGGAGUGAUACAUCACCAAAAUAUUCCAUCGUCUUCUCUCACUUGUUU
This is a non-coding RNA of Schizosaccharomyces pombe (fission yeast), 441 nucleotides long. Lineage: Eukaryota; Fungi; Ascomycota; Schizosaccharomycetes; Schizosaccharomycetales; Schizosaccharomycetaceae. The record is from the annotation of a GenBank genome assembly.